This 1627-nucleotide ribosomal RNA is filed under the name Wenyonia acuminata. RNAcentral's name for it is "eukaryotic LSU rRNA". It matches the Rfam family "Eukaryotic large subunit ribosomal RNA", at positions 25 to 972 of the family's 3401-position model. Lineage: Eukaryota; Metazoa; Platyhelminthes; Cestoda; Caryophyllidea; Caryophyllaeidae. The record is from RNAcentral.
CCGCUGAAUUUAAGCAUAUCACUAAGCGGAGGAAAAGAAACUAACCAGGAUUCCCCUAGUAACGGCGAGUGAAGAGGGAAAAGCCCAGCACCGAAGCCUGUGGCAGCUUUGCUACUAGGCAAUGUGGUGUUUAGGUCGGCUCGCGGGAUCGCCACUCCACUCGAAGUCCAGCCUUGAUUAUGGUUGCCAGGAAUUGGCCCAUAGCGGGUGAUAGGCCCGUACGGGUGGAGGUGUCAGAUGUGUAAGGCGAUUCACCAGGCCGGCCUUAGAGUCGGGUUGUUUGCGAUUGCAGCCCAAAGUGGGUGGUAAACUCCAUCCAAGGCUAAAUACUAGCACGAGUCCGAUAGCGAACAAGUACCGUGAGGGAAAGUUGAAAAGUACUUUGAAGAGAGAGUAAACAGUACGUGAAACCGCAUAGAGGUAAACGGGUGGCGUCAAGCUGCAAGCCCAGAGAAUUCAGUCGGUCAGGGUGUUGUUUCUGCGCCCAGCGCAGCUAUCAGUCGGUGUUCCGACUAGUCCGCCGGUAGAUGGCGGGCCCAGCUGUCACAGGCUGGGAUUUGCGUACCGAGUGUUGGUCGGAGCAAGCUAGUCAACCGUGGGACUGUCUGGCCGAUGCACUUUCUCUGUGGUGAACACCACGACCGGUGGAACUGCCAGUCUACCUUAGCCAGCUUCGUCGCACGCUCAGGCUUUCGUGGUCAGAGCGGGUGGCGAUCACGGGCAAUGUCAGUGCACGGUGCCUGCGGGUUUCCGCUCGUAGGCAUGUCAUCGGGUACUGGUUGUCAACGGGUCGGCCUGGACACUGUCCUGUAGUUGCAGUGUGCAUUCUGGGUGACUCGGUGGGCUAUGGCGGCAGGAGAAGCUGUGCAGGGCACCGGAGAUGUCGGUCUGUUUAUGACGGUCGCGCACGCACUACAGCUUGGCGUGUGUCAUGCAAGGCACUGAUAGCGUUGCCAGGGCCUGCCAACAUUCGGGUCUGAUCUUCGUGUCGCCUGUCAAAAUGACAGGUCCGAGGGUGGCCUGGUAUUGGAUGGUGCCCGUGGGCGGCGUCGUCGUCUUAGUGCGACCGUGCUGAGAGACCAGAUAGUCAGUGGUGUAGUGGUAGACGAGCUACCCGACCCGUCUUGAAACACGGACCAAGAAGUUCAACAUGCGCGCGAGUCAUGGGGUCGUACGAAACCCAAAGGCGCAAUGAAAGUGAAGCCGUGCUCUCUCUCUGCCUCCUAUCCAUGGAGGCCGGGCAUGGUGUGGUGAGAUCCCGCUGUUUCUCGCAUGCACUUGUUUGUGACGAGGACCGGCAGCUGGGUUGACUAGCUAUGUUGUCUCGUGCAACAGAACUAUGGACGAGCAGUGGGCGCAUCACCGGCCCGUCCCAUGAUGUGGCUACUGGUUUGCAGCGGCGGUUGGGCAACCGACUGCCUGUCUGUCCGGUACGUCAUCGGGGCGGAGCAUGAGCGCGCAUGUUGAGACCCGAAAGAUGGUGAACUAUGCUUGCGUAGGUUGAAGCCAGAGGAAACUCUGGUGGAGGACCGCAGCGAUUCUGACGUGCAAAUCGAUCGUCAAACGUGAGCAUAGGGGCGAAAGACUAAUCGAACCAUCUAGUAGCUGGUUCCCUCCGAAGUUUCCC